Molecule: ribosomal RNA, 258 nt
Filed under: uncultured bacterium
Lineage: Bacteria
Description: partial 16S ribosomal RNA
Rfam family: Bacterial small subunit ribosomal RNA
Source: RNAcentral
UACAGAGAGGGCAAGCGUUAUUCGGAAUUACUGGGCGUAAAGGACGCGUAGGCGGCCUCUUAAGUCGAACGUGAAAUCCCCCGGGCUCAACCCGGGAACUGCGUCCGAUACUGGGGAGACUUGAAUCCGGGGAGAGAGAUGUAGAAUUCCAGGUGUAGCGAUGAAAUGCGUAGAUAUCUGGAGAAACACCAGUGGCGAAAAACGGCAUCCUGGACCGGUAUUGACGCUGAGACGCGAAAAGCUAAAGGAGCAAACGGG